AAUGUCCCUCUUCACGACACCAACCGGUCCCUGGGUUUUUUAGGGUAAACUGAGGAGCAGUGUGUUAAUAGAACCUCAAACCAAUCGCCUCAGCCUGUGCCUCACACUGCUGGCAUCCCUUUGCUGGAGCUAAAAGGCACCAAAAACCUUCCUUUACCUGCUUGGCUCCGCAUCUCCUCUGCUUUUACGGCUCCUUCAACCUCGCUCAGCGUGCAGGAGCACAAACACUUGGUGUCCCUCUCCGAUCUCAAAGAUGAGGGCUCUUACUAAAGGCAAAAAAAAGGUGUCUGGCUAGAUAGAGCAACAGGUUUCAUGACUGGAAUAUAAGCACUUUGUGUAUGUGUCAAAGACGCGUCGGAGAGCUUUGCGAUCCAUCGCUUGCAUGCAUGGCCGCCUCCCCUCGCUUCUGUUGAUCCGUUUUGAACUUUAUGCUGGAGUUGUGUACAGCCGCUGUGUAUCGUCUGACGGCAAAGCUAUUUUGGAUGUACACAACAUUUUCUUAUGCAUGUGUGUAUGAUUUAAGGGUAUGUUUGUUCUAUGACUGUACAGGGUGUUAAGCAUAUAUACAUAUUUAAUAUUACAUUACUGCAACAACAGUGACUACACAAUGUUUUGGGGUACUUAAACAAAUUGUAAAUCAAGUGCUGUGCCUCAGUGAUUGUGAAUGUACAUUGUACUUUUUCAAAGGAGACGAGCAAAGUUGUAGAAAGCAAGCUAUUCCUCAAAACAGGAGCACAAAUAAAUGCUUGGCAAUAAUGAACUAGUAUUGUACAUUACAAAGGAAUGGUCAGAACAUUUGUCUAUUUUUGUAUGCAUGCCGUCUACCUAAUUGUUUGUAAAACAGUUUUGUAUUUCUGUAUUUUUUCGGCCAGGAGAAUACUGGUGUUUCCCUCCACCCCGUUGUGUUUUUGAGACUUGAAAAGAAGAAGGAUUUUUUUGUUAAGAGGAAUAACUGUAUUUAUUAAGUGUUUAAUGUACAAGCAUGCUUUGUAUAACUAAAAUACAGUACCAUGCUGUUGGCAAUUGACUAACAUUGCACAAGUGUGCCAUAUUGUAGCUACAUUACUUUUUUAUUGAAUAAAGUAUGGCAAAGGCACACUGAAGAAAGAAGCAUUGUUAUGUUUUGUCUCGUCUCAUAAUCACAUUUAGAUGACUCUUUUUAGACAAAGAUUGACUCAAAGCAUGUAGGAUAUGAUGAAUGAGGAUUUAAAAAGAAUAACACAGAA
This is a long non-coding RNA of Gasterosteus aculeatus aculeatus (three-spined stickleback), 1226 nucleotides long. The record is from Ensembl. NCBI's taxonomy places the organism in Eukaryota, Metazoa, Chordata, Actinopteri, Perciformes, Gasterosteidae.